Molecule: non-coding RNA, 206 nt
Filed under: Brevibacillus brevis
Lineage: Bacteria; Bacillati; Bacillota; Bacilli; Caryophanales; Paenibacillaceae
Also listed under: 1 other name
Source: RNAcentral
AUUUCAUAGGUGGAAACAGGUUCCUUAGAGCGUAACCAACUCGCCACAAGGAUAAUAGGGAAGCUCGGUGCAAAUCCGACACGGUCCCGCCACUGUAAGAGGGGAGUCAGCGUCCAAAAAGCCACUGGUCUAUCAAAAUAGACGGGGAAGGCGACGCUAGGCGAUGAACCCAUAGUCAGGAGACCUGCCUGUUUCGACAACACUGA